This 2923-nucleotide ribosomal RNA is filed under the name Klebsiella pneumoniae. RNAcentral's name for it is "bacterial LSU rRNA". It matches the Rfam family "Bacterial large subunit ribosomal RNA". The record is from RNAcentral. Lineage: Bacteria; Pseudomonadati; Pseudomonadota; Gammaproteobacteria; Enterobacterales; Enterobacteriaceae.
GGGUUGUGAGGUUAAGCGACUAAGCGUACACGGUGGAUGCCCUGGCAGUCAGAGGCGAUGAAGGACGUGCUAAUCUGCGAAAAGCGUCGGUAAGGUGAUAUGAACCGUUAUAACCGGCGAUGUCCGAAUGGGGAAACCCAGUGCAAUUCGUUGCACUAUCGUUAACUGAAUACAUAGGUUAACGAGGCGAACCGGGGGAACUGAAACAUCUAAGUACCCCGAGGAAAAGAAAUCAACCGAGAUUCCCCCAGUAGCGGCGAGCGAACGGGGAGCAGCCCAGAGUCUGAAUCAGCUUGUGUGUUAGUGGAACGGUCUGGAAAGUCCGACGGUACAGGGUGAUAGUCCCGUACACCAAAAUGCACAGGCUGUGAACUCGAAGAGUAGGGCGGGACACGUGGUAUCCUGUCUGAAUAUGGGGGGACCAUCCUCCAAGGCUAAAUACUCCUGACUGACCGAUAGUGAACCAGUACCGUGAGGGAAAGGCGAAAAGAACCCCGGCGAGGGGAGUGAAAAAGAACCUGAAACCGUGUACGUACAAGCAGUGGGAGCACCUUCGGGUGUGACUGCGUACCUUUUGUAUAAUGGGUCAGCGACUUAUAUUCUGUAGCAAGGUUAACCGUAUAGGGGAGCCGCAGGGAAACCGAGUCUUAACUGGGCGUUAAGUUGCAGGGUAUAGACCCGAAACCCGGUGAUCUAGCCAUGGGCAGGUUGAAGGUUGGGUAACACUAACUGGAGGACCGAACCGACUAAUGUUGAAAAAUUAGCGGAUGACUUGUGGCUGGGGGUGAAAGGCCAAUCAAACCGGGAGAUAGCUGGUUCUCCCCGAAAGCUAUUUAGGUAGCGCCUCGUGAACUCAUCUUCGGGGGUAGAGCACUGUUUCGGCUAGGGGGUCAUCCCGACUUACCAACCCGAUGCAAACUACGAAUACCGAAGAAUGUUAUCACGGGAGACACACGGCGGGUGCUAACGUCCGUCGUGAAGAGGGAAACAACCCAGACCGCCAGCUAAGGUCCCAAAGUCAUGGUUAAGUGGGAAACGAUGUGGGAAGGCACAGACAGCCAGGAUGUUGGCUUAGAAGCAGCCAUCAUUUAAAGAAAGCGUAAUAGCUCACUGGUCGAGUCGGCCUGCGCGGAAGAUGUAACGGGGCUAAACCAUGCACCGAAGCUGCGGCAGCGACACUAUGUGUUGUUGGGUAGGGGAGCGUUCUGUAAGCCUGCGAAGGUGGCCUGUGAGGGUUGCUGGAGGUAUCAGAAGUGCGAAUGCUGACAUAAGUAACGAUAAAGCGGGUGAAAAGCCCGCUCGCCGGAAGACCAAGGGUUCCUGUCCAACGUUAAUCGGGGCAGGGUGAGUCGACCCCUAAGGCGAGGCCGAAAGGCGUAGUCGAUGGGAAACAGGUUAAUAUUCCUGUACUUGGUGUUACUGCGAAGGGGGGACGGAGAAGGCUAUGUUAGCCGGGCGACGGUUGUCCCGGUUUAAGCAUGUAGGCUGGUUGUCCAGGCAAAUCCGGAUAAUCAAGGCUGAGGUGUGAUGACGAGGCACUACGGUGCUGAAGUAACAAAUGCCCUGCUUCCAGGAAAAGCCUCUAAGCAUCAGGUAACAUUAAAUCGUACCCCAAACCGACACAGGUGGUCAGGUAGAGAAUACCAAGGCGCUUGAGAGAACUCGGGUGAAGGAACUAGGCAAAAUGGUGCCGUAACUUCGGGAGAAGGCACGCUGGUGUGUAGGUGAAGCCCCUGCGGGUGGAGCUGAGACCAGUCGAAGAUACCAGCUGGCUGCAACUGUUUAUUAAAAACACAGCACUGUGCAAACACGAAAGUGGACGUAUACGGUGUGACGCCUGCCCGGUGCCGGAAGGUUAAUUGAUGGGGUUAUCCGUAAGGAGAAGCUCUUGAUCGAAGCCCCGGUAAACGGCGGCCGUAACUAUAACGGUCCUAAGGUAGCGAAAUUCCUUGUCGGGUAAGUUCCGACCUGCACGAAUGGCGUAAUGAUGGCCAGGCUGUCUCCACCCGAGACUCAGUGAAAUUGAACUCGCUGUGAAGAUGCAGUGUACCCGCGGCAAGACGGAAAGACCCCGUGAACCUUUACUAUAGCUUGACACUGAACAUUGAGCCUUGAUGUGUAGGAUAGGUGGGAGGCUUUGAAGCGUGGACGCCAGUCUGCGUGGAGCCAACCUUGAAAUACCACCCUUUAAUGUUUGAUGUUCUAACGUUGGCCCCUGACCGGGGUUGCGGACAGUGUCUGGUGGGUAGUUUGACUGGGGCGGUCUCCUCCCAAAGCGUAACGGAGGAGCACGAAGGUUAGCUAAUCCUGGUCGGACAUCAGGAGGUUAGUGCAAUGGCAUAAGCUAGCUUGACUGCGAGCGUGACGGCGCGAGCAGGUGCGAAAGCAGGUCAUAGUGAUCCGGUGGUUCUGAAUGGAAGGGCCAUCGCUCAACGGAUAAAAGGUACUCCGGGGAUAACAGGCUGAUACCGCCCAAGAGUUCAUAUCGACGGCGGUGUUUGGCACCUCGAUGUCGGCUCAUCACAUCCUGGGGCUGAAGUAGGUCCCAAGGGUAUGGCUGUUCGCCAUUUAAAGUGGUACGCGAGCUGGGUUUAGAACGUCGUGAGACAGUUCGGUCCCUAUCUGCCGUGGGCGCUGGAGAAUUGAGGGGGGCUGCUCCUAGUACGAGAGGACCGGAGUGGACGCAUCACUGGUGUUCGGGUUGUCAUGCCAAUGGCACUGCCCGGUAGCUAAAUGCGGAAGAGAUAAGUGCUGAAAGCAUCUAAGCACGAAACUUGCCCCGAGAUGAGUUCUCCCUGAGACUAUAAGUCUCCUGAAGGAACGUUGAAGACGACGACGUUGAUAGGCCGGGUGUGUAAGCGCAGCGAUGCGUUGAGCUAACCGGUACUAAUGAACCGUGAGGCUUAACCUUACAACGCCGAAG